AAAGUUAAAUUUUGUGUUUGUUUUAGUCAAUAUUCGGAGCUGGGAUGGAUUCUGCUCGCUAUGGUGGAGUAGGGGAGGAAUGGGAGGAAAUUCAGGUUACCCUAAUACCAGAGGAUGGGGAGUGUAAACCUAUUCAGAAACCAAGACAAGCUCCAAAAAUGAUAGAACUUCAUGAGGAACUGAAGAAAGUGGAAGUUCUACGGGAAAGCGGAAGCAAAAAAUGUGAUUACUACAAAGCAACUCAGGGGUUUGAGUGUGUACCGUACUAUUAAAU
This is a long non-coding RNA of Eurytemora carolleeae, 274 nucleotides long. RefSeq lists it as uncharacterized. Lineage: Eukaryota; Metazoa; Arthropoda; Copepoda; Calanoida; Temoridae. The record is from RefSeq and is a predicted model, not a curated record. The transcript is spliced from 4 exons.